RNAcentral lists this long non-coding RNA (227 nucleotides) under Ananas comosus (pineapple). RNAcentral describes it as "long non-coding RNA (ACOM_LNC002026)". The record is from RNAcentral. Lineage: Eukaryota; Viridiplantae; Streptophyta; Magnoliopsida; Poales; Bromeliaceae.
AGAAGAAUUAGUAUACCGGCCGUGUAAAAGUAGGCGCUUCGCCGCGACCGAAUCGGCGGCGAGAGCGAGGAAAAUGAUAAAGGGUGGAUAUGUAGCCUACUUGGCGAGAAUGACUGAAGCCCAAAAGGAGUAUCCGGAACUUGAAGGUAUUCGGGUUGUAUGCGAGUAUCUGGAUGUGUUUCCGGCGGAGUUACCGGGAUUGCCACCGGACUGGGAAGUCGAGUUCG